This 245-nucleotide ribosomal RNA is filed under the name uncultured bacterium. RNAcentral describes it as "partial 16S ribosomal RNA". It matches the Rfam family "Bacterial small subunit ribosomal RNA", at positions 524 to 768 of the family's 1533-position model. The record is from RNAcentral.
UACAGAGGUCCCAAGCGUUGUUCGGAUUCACUGGGCGUAAAGGGUGCGUAGGUGGUCGGGUAAGUCUGAUGUGAAAUCUCGCAGCUCAACUGCGAAACUGCAUUGGAUACUAUCCGGCUUGAGGAUCGGAGGGGGGACUGGAAUUCUCGGUGUAGCAGUGAAAUGCGUAGAUAUCGAGAGGAACACCAGUGGCGAAGGCGAGUCCCUGGACGACUCCUGACACUGAGGCACGAAAGCUAGGGGAG